CCUACGGGAGGCAGCAGUGGGGAAUAUUGCACAAUGGGGGAAACCCUGAUGCAGCGACGCCGCGUGAGUGAAGAAGUAAUUCGUUAUGUAAAGCUCUAUCAGCAGGGAAGAAAAUGACGGUACUUGAGUAAGAAGCACCGGCUAACUACGUGCCAGCAGCCGCGGUAAUACGUAGGGGGCAAGCGUGAUCCGGAUUUACUGGGGGUAAAGGGAGCGUAGACGGCAGUGCAAGUCUGGAGUGAAAGGCGGGGGCUUAACCCCCGGACUGCUCUGGAAACUGUACGGCUGGAGUGCAGGAGAGGUAAGUGGAAUUCCUAGUGUAGCGGUGGAAUGCGUAGAUAUAAGGAGGAACACCAGUGGCGAAGGCGGCUCUCUGGUCUGCAACUGACGCUGAGGCUCGAAAGCAUGGGGAGCGAACAGGAUUAGAUACCCCAGUAGUC
Molecule: ribosomal RNA, 440 nt
Filed under: uncultured bacterium
Lineage: Bacteria
Description: partial 16S ribosomal RNA
Rfam family: Bacterial small subunit ribosomal RNA
Source: RNAcentral